UCAAUGCUUCGGAAGUAUGUCUCGGACUCGUCCCAUGUCCUGAGUUAUGAAGCGUUAGAACUUCAGUCAGAUUUGUCAUACGAGGAACAACCAGUGCAGAUACUUGAUAGAAGAGAGAAAGUCUUGAGAAGCAAGACUGUGGCACUGGUGAAAGUACUGUGGAGGAACAGUAAAGUAGAAGAGGCAACCUGGGAGCUCGAGACGGAUAUGCAGCAGAAAUAUCCGGAGUUGUUCAGGUAAAUUUCGGGACGAAAUUUCUAUAAGGAGGGGGUAAUUGUAAUACCCGGGAUUAAGAAAAGGAUUAGCAAAACCCUAACUAGAUAAUUAUGUAUAAUUGAGGAAAUUAUAUUAUUAUAUAAUUUAAUAUAUGUGAUUUUAUAUGAAUUUAACAUGUUAAAGACCCCGUUGGUGAGCCAGGGGCAUUUUGGUAAUUAUGACCCGAGAAGAGUAAAAUGAUGAAAUUAAUUUAAUUAUGUGCUUAAUAGAACUAUAUUAUUAUAUAGUAUUCCUGUGUUGUCUUUUCAGGUGUGUUCUGACAGGUUGGCGCGGUAUAGUCACAACCGGGUAUUUUGGGCCGAACCGGGUUCGGGCCCGAAAUGCAAAUUAGAUUGAAUUAAUUGGCAUUUUAUUUGAUAAUGAGAAAUCUGAAAUUUAAUUGGGUUUGAAUUGGUGUGUAAAUGUCAUUUUGCCCUUGCAUGCCUAAGUGAAUGUUAUUUGGCCCUAGGGGGCAAAAUGGUCUUUUUAGACCCUUAAUUUAUGUUUAAUAAAAGAAUGAUUUUAAGGAAAAGAGAAUUAUUUUUCUAGUUUUCCUUCAGCCCUAAAACCGUACCCCUCCUCUCCUCUUCACUUAUUUCUUAAAUGUUUAGAUUUUUGUAGAUUGUUCUUGAAUUGAAGGUUUUGUAAAGUUGAAUUUCUUGUGGAUAGAAGCUUGAAGUUGUGGAUUACCGGCACCUGGUCAGGAGCACCCGGGGAUUUGGAAUCUCUACUAUUGCGGGACAAUAGGAAAGGGUAAGGCAUUAGCUGAUCUGCCAUGAGUUUUCAGGAGCAGGACGAAGAAUGUACAUGUUCACGCCACUUCAGACCAAGCGGGUUAUGGGUCUAACAGUGUUGACUUUUGUAUUCUGUUUUGCCGCUUAGGCCGGCUAGUAAGAAAGAACUUGUAAUAAUUUUGUAAAUAUUUUUGGGAUCCCAACUAUGUUUGAAAAGUUUAAAUAUAUUACAAGUUUAUUUUCA
Cannabis sativa is the source of this 1233-nucleotide long non-coding RNA. RefSeq lists it as uncharacterized. The record is from RefSeq and is a predicted model, not a curated record. NCBI's taxonomy places the organism in Eukaryota, Viridiplantae, Streptophyta, Magnoliopsida, Rosales, Cannabaceae. The transcript is spliced from 3 exons.